Molecule: unclassified non-coding RNA, 226 nt
Filed under: Hevea brasiliensis (rubber tree)
Lineage: Eukaryota; Viridiplantae; Streptophyta; Magnoliopsida; Malpighiales; Euphorbiaceae
Source: RNAcentral
UCAAAUUAACAUAUUUGGAGAAAAUAACUGAGAUGAGCACCAUGUAGUUGUGCACGAUUGUUGUGCCCGCAAGUUUUCCUUUAAAGUCUGAACUGCAAUAGGGUCCACAUAGACUAAAAAUUUUGCACAAUGCACCAGACUAUUAAAAAUUAGAAAAUGAAUUUUUUUUUUAAAAAAAGAACAAAUAACUUGUACUUGGAUUAUGUUCACAGUAAUUCAUUUGAAG